RNAcentral lists this ribosomal RNA (578 nucleotides) under uncultured Alphaproteobacteria bacterium. RNAcentral's name for it is "bacterial SSU rRNA". The stretch from base 61 to 578 matches the Rfam family "Bacterial small subunit ribosomal RNA", at positions 1 to 548 of the family's 1533-position model. The record is from RNAcentral. Lineage: Bacteria; Pseudomonadati; Pseudomonadota; Alphaproteobacteria.
GCAUCCAACGCGUUGGGAGCUCUCCCAUAUGGUCGACCUGCAGGCGGCCGCGAAUUCACUAGUGAUUAGAGUUUGAUCAUGGCUCAGAACGAACGCUUUCGGUAUGCUUAACACAUGCAAGUCGAACGGAUUUAUUUAGAGCUUGCUUUAAAUAAAUUAGUGGCAGACGGGUGAGUAACACGUGGGAAUCUGCCCAUCAGUACGGAAUAACAUUUAGAAAUAAUUGCUAAUACCGUAUAUUCUCUUUGGAGGAAAGAUUUAUCGCUGAUGGAUGAGCCCGCGCCAGAUUAGGUAGUUGGUAGGGUAAUGGCCUACCAAGCCAAUGAUCUGUAGCUGGUUUGAGAGAAUGAUCAGCCACACUGGGACUGAGACACGGCCCAGACUCCUACGGGAGGCAGCAGUGGGGAAUAUUGGACAAUGGGCGAAAGCCUGAUCCAGCAAUACCGAGUGGGUGAUGAAGGCCUUAGGGUUGUAAAGCCCUUUUCAGCAGGGAAGAUAAUGACGGUACCUGACCAAGAAAGCCCCGGCUAACUCCGUGCCAGCAGCCGCGGUAAUACGAAUCGAAUUCCCGCGGCCGC